RNAcentral lists this transfer RNA (66 nucleotides) under Caiman latirostris (Broad-snouted caiman). RNAcentral describes it as "tRNA-Ala". It matches the Rfam family "tRNA". Rfam says of the family: Transfer RNA (tRNA) molecules are approximately 80 nucleotides in length. Their secondary structure includes four short double-helical elements and three loops (D, anti-codon, and T loops). The record is from RNAcentral. Lineage: Eukaryota; Metazoa; Chordata; Crocodylia; Alligatoridae.
AGGCUUUAGCUUAAUAAAAGCUUUCGAUUUGCAGUCUGAAGAUGCGGGGUAGAGUCCUGCAAGCCU